GACGAACGCUGGCGGCGUGCUUAACACAUGCAAGUCGAACGAUGAAGCCCAUCUUGCUGGGUGGAAGAGUGGCGAACGGGUGAGUAACACGUGAGUAACCUGCUCCUGACUCUGGGAUAAGCGCUAGAAGUGGCGUCUAAUACUGGAUAUGACCUAUCACCGCAUGGUGUGUAGGUGGAAAGAUUUAUCGGUUGGGGAUGGAGUCGCGGCCUAUCAGCUUGUUGGUGAGGUAAUGGCUCACCAAGGCGACGACGGGUAGCCGGCCUGAGAGGGUGACCGGCCACACUGGGACUGAGACACGGCCCAGACUCCUACGGGAGGCAGCAGUGGGGAAUAUUGCACAAUGGGCGCAAGCCGGGUGCAGCAACGCCGCGUGAGGGAUGACGGCCUUCGGGUUGUAAACCUCUUUUAGUAGGGAAGAAGCGCAAGUGACGGUACCUGCAGAAAAAGCACCGGCUAACUACGUGCCAGCCGCCGCCGUAA
This 483-nucleotide ribosomal RNA is filed under the name uncultured bacterium. Its description in RNAcentral is "partial 16S ribosomal RNA". It matches the Rfam family "Bacterial small subunit ribosomal RNA", at positions 28 to 523 of the family's 1533-position model. The record is from RNAcentral.